This 373-nucleotide ribosomal RNA is filed under the name uncultured bacterium. Its description in RNAcentral is "bacterial SSU rRNA". It matches the Rfam family "Bacterial small subunit ribosomal RNA", at positions 93 to 500 of the family's 1533-position model. The record is from RNAcentral.
UAGUGGCGGACGGGUGAGUAACGCGUGGGAAUCUGCCCUCAGGAGGGGGAUAACGGUUGGAAACGACCGCUAAUACCCCAUAUGCCGAGAGGUGAAACGAAAUUCGCCUGGGGAUGAGCCCGCGUCUGAUUAGCUAGUUGGUGGGGUAAAGGCCUACCAAGGCAUCGAUCAGUAGCUGGUCUGAGAGGAUGAUCAGCCACACUGGGACUGAGACACGGCCCAGACUCCUACGGGAGGCAGCAGUGGGGAAUUUUCCGCAAUGGGCGCAAGCCUGACGGAGCAACGCCGCGUGAGGGAUGAAGGCCUCUGGGCUGUAAACCUCUUUUCUCAAGGAAGAAGAACUGACGGUACUUGAGGAAUAAGCCACGGCUAA